UACGUAGGGGGCUAGCGUUGUCCGGAAUCAUUGGGCGUAAAGAGCGUGUAGGCGGUCCGGUAAGUCCGCUGUGAAAGCCGGGGGCUCAACCCUCGAAUGCCGGUGGAUACUGUCGGGCUAGAGUACGGAAGAGGCGAGUGGAAUUCCUGGUGUAGCGGUGAAAUGCGCAGAUAUCAGGAGGAACGCCAAUGGCGAAGGCAGCUCGCUGGGACGUGACUGACGCUGAGACGCGAAAGCGUGGGGAGCAAACAGG
This 253-nucleotide ribosomal RNA is filed under the name uncultured bacterium. RNAcentral describes it as "partial 16S ribosomal RNA". It matches the Rfam family "Bacterial small subunit ribosomal RNA", at positions 524 to 776 of the family's 1533-position model. The record is from RNAcentral.